GUCCGUCUGACGAGUUCCAACUAGAACGAAACGUGCGUCGUGGAU
Molecule: non-coding RNA, 45 nt
Organism: Schistosoma haematobium
Lineage: Eukaryota; Metazoa; Platyhelminthes; Trematoda; Strigeidida; Schistosomatidae
Source: Rfam